RNAcentral lists this long non-coding RNA (296 nucleotides) under Panax ginseng (ginseng). RNAcentral's name for it is "long non-coding RNA (PGIN_LNC016092)". The record is from RNAcentral. Lineage: Eukaryota; Viridiplantae; Streptophyta; Magnoliopsida; Apiales; Araliaceae.
CAAGACGAAAAUUGGUUAAGAAGUACAUCCUUGUCAAUGAAGGAGUACUCAAAGAGGAAGACAAAAAGAUGGCUGCUGAAAAGGAACUAUCCAAAGAAAGCCAAAAGCACAAAGCUCAAGAUGAGGGGGAGAUACCUGAAGUUCUCACCCUAGAAAAUGCUCCAGCUGAGGGGGAGCUACUAGUCCUGUAGAUGGAUGAUCAUGUUGAGGGGGAGCCUCAUGAUAUCCCCAUUACAGAAGAAGCUAUUCCUGCAGAAAAUGAGGGAGAACCAGAGCAAGAACAAAAUGAAGUGAUU